ACUCCUACGGGAGGCAGCAGUGGGGAAUAUUGCACAAUGGGGAAACCCUGAUGCAGCCAUGCCGCGUGUGUGAAGAAGGCCUUCGGUUGUAAGCACUUUCAGUAGGAGGAAGGUAGUGUAGUUAACACCUGCAUUAUUUGUACGUUACCUACAGAAGAAGCACCGGCUAACUCCGUGCCAGCAGCCGCGGUAAUACGGAGGGUGCGAGCGUUAAUCGGAAUUACUGGCGUAAAGCGCAUGCAGGCGGCCUGUUAAGUCAGAUGUGAAAGCCCGGGGGCUUAACCUCGGAAUUGCAUUUGAAACUGGCAGGCUAGAGUCUUGUAGAGGGGGUAGGAAUUUCAGGUGUAGCGGUGAAAUGCGUAG
This 363-nucleotide ribosomal RNA is filed under the name uncultured bacterium. Its description in RNAcentral is "bacterial SSU rRNA". It matches the Rfam family "Bacterial small subunit ribosomal RNA", at positions 335 to 693 of the family's 1533-position model. The record is from RNAcentral.